UAAAAUAAUUAAGGGCACACAAAGGAUGCCUAGGUAGUAAGAGCCGAUGAAGGACGUGGUAAGCUGCGAUAAGCCUAGAUAAGUUGCAAUCGAACGUAAGAGUCUAGGAUUUCCGAAUGGAGCAAUCUAUUAAGAUGGAGUCUUAAUACGAAAGAGGGAACCGCGUGAACUGAAACAUCUAAGUAACGCGAGGAAAAGAAAGUAAAAACGAUACCCAAAGUAGCGGCGAGCGAAAUGGGUCAAGCCUAAACCUUAAAUAUGUCAAGGAUACAGCCGUUGUAUUUAAGGGGUUGAGGGACAGAGUAGUGAAGAACUGUAAGAUAUUCAAUAUAGUGUAUUGAUGAAUUGGAAUUGUCUGGAAAGGCGAACCGUAGAAGGUGAAAGUCCUGUACAAGUAAAUCCUUACACAUAUAACUCUGCUCCCAAGUAACAUGGAACACGAGGAAUUCUGUGUGAAUCUGUGAGGACCAUAUCUCAUAAGGCUAAAUACUCUUACUAACCGAUAGCGCAUAGUACCGUGAGGGAAAGGUGAAAAGAACCCCUGGAGGGGAGUGAAAUAGAACCUGAAAUUGUGUGCUUACAAGCGGUCAGAGCCAGUAAUGGUGAUGGCGUGCCUUUUGGAGAAUGAUCCUGCGAGUUACGUUAAACGGCGAGGUUAAGUAUAACGGAGCCGAAGGGAAACCAAGUCUUAAUAGGGCGAUUUAGUCGUUUGGCGUAGACGCGAAACCUGGUGAUCUAAACCUGUCCAGGAUGAAGCUGUGGUAAGACACAGUGGAGGUCCUAACCCACCGCCGUUGAAAAGUUGGGGGAUGAGGUAGGUUUAGGGGUGAAAAGCCAAUCGAACCAGGAGAUAGCUCGUUCUCUCCGAAAUGCAUCUAGGUGCAGCCUUGAGUGUUCAAUUAUGGGGGUAGAGCACUGAAUGAUCUAGGGGGCGUAUUGCUUACUGAAAUCAAUCAAACUCCGAAUACCAUAAUUUAGAGCUCAGGAGUGAGACUAUGGGAGUUAACUUCCAUUGUCGAAAGGGAAACAACCCAGACCACCAGCUAAGGUCCCUAAUUAUAACUAAGUGGGAAAGGAGGUGGAGAUUCACAAACAACUAGGAGGUUGGCUUAGAAGCAGCCAUACCUUUAAAGAGUGCGUAAUAGCUCACUAGUCGAGAGUCUCUGCGCCGACAAUGUAACGGGGCUAAGUUAUAAACCGAAGCUGUGGAAUCCGUAAGGAUUGGUAGGAGAGCGUUCUGUAGGCCAUUGAAGAAGAAGGGUAACCGACUUUGGAGGUAUCAGAAGUGAGAAUGCAGGAAUAAGUAGCGAGAAAGGGGGCGAGAAUCCCCCUCGCCGGAAGACCAAGGUUUUCAGGGUAAAGCUUGUCUUCCCUGAGUAAGCCGGGACCUAAGCCCAGGCUAUAAUGCGUAGGCGAAUGGAAAACAGAUUAAUAUUUCUGUGCCAGUCAUAUAUUGUGAUGGAGGGACGCAGAAGGGUAUGCGCGCGGACGAACGGAAGUGUCCGUAGAAGUAUGUAGGAUGACUUGAUAGGUAAAUCCAUUGAGUUAUAUCUGAGGUAUGAUAUACAGUCGUAAGAUGAAUGUGCAAAUCCCACGCUGCCAAGAAAAGCUUCUAACGUUAAUAUUUGACUGCCCGUACUGUAAACCGACACAGGUGGUCAGGAUGAGAAAUCUAAGGCGGACAGGCUAACUCUCGUUAAGGAACUCUGCAAAAUAACCUCGUAACUUCGGGAGAAGAGGAGCCCUUGGGUGUUAGUAUCCAUGCGUUACAAAGCACUCGAGGGUCGCAGUGAAGAGGCUCAAGCAACUGUUUAACAAAAACACAGGUCUAUGCUAAGCUGGAAGGCGAUGUAUAUGGGCUGACACCUGCCCAGUGCUGGAAGGUUAAGAGGAGGAGUGAGAGCUCCGAAUUGAAGCCCCAGUGAACGGCGGCCGUAACUAUAACGGUCCUAAGGUAGCGAAAUUCCUUGUCGGGUAAGUUCCGACCUGCACGAAUGGUGUAAUGAUUUGAGCGCUGUCUUGACGGGAGGCCUGGUGAAAUUGUAUUACCGGUGAAGAUACCGGUUACCUACAGUAGGACGGAAAGACCCCAUGGAGCUUUACUGUAGCUUGGUAUUGGGUUUUGGCAUUGCAUGUAUAGGAU
This 2143-nucleotide ribosomal RNA is filed under the name metagenome. Its description in RNAcentral is "bacterial LSU rRNA". It matches the Rfam family "Bacterial large subunit ribosomal RNA", at positions 1 to 2144 of the family's 2925-position model. The record is from RNAcentral.